GAUGAACGCUGGCGGCGUGCCUAAUACAUGCAAGUCGAGCGAACAGACGAGGAGCUUGCUCCUCUGACGUUGGCGGCGGACGGGUGAGUAACACGUGGAUAACCUACCUAUAAGACUGGGAUAACUUCGGGAAACCGGAGCUAAUACCGGAUAAUAUAUUGAACCGCAUGGUUCAAUAGUGAAAGACGGUUUUGCUGUCACUUAUAGAUGGAUCCGCGCCGCAUUAGCUAGUUGGUAAGGUAACGGCUUACCAAGGCAACGAUGCGUAGCCGACCUGAGAGGGUGAUCGGCCACACUGGAACUGAGACACGGUCCAGACUCCUACGGGAGGCAGCAGUAGGGAAUCUUCCGCAAUGGGCGAAAGCCUGACGGAGCAACGCCGCGUGAGUGAUGAAGGUCUUCGGAUCGUAAAACUCUGUUAUUAGGAAAGAACAAAUGUGUAAGUAACUAUGCACGUCUUGACGGUACCUAAUCAGAAAGCCACGGCUAACUACGUG
RNAcentral lists this ribosomal RNA (497 nucleotides) under uncultured bacterium. RNAcentral's name for it is "partial 16S ribosomal RNA". It matches the Rfam family "Bacterial small subunit ribosomal RNA", at positions 28 to 507 of the family's 1533-position model. The record is from RNAcentral.